This 345-nucleotide unclassified non-coding RNA is filed under the name soil metagenome. RNAcentral describes it as "partial contains 5.8S ribosomal RNA, internal transcribed spacer 2, and large subunit ribosomal RNA". The stretch from base 1 to 119 matches the Rfam family "5.8S ribosomal RNA", at positions 35 to 154 of the family's 154-position model. The record is from RNAcentral.
GAUGAAGAACGCAGCGAAAUGCGAUACGUAAUGUGAAUUGCAAAUUCAGUGAAUCAUCGAGUCUUUGAACGCACAUUGCGCCCCCUGGUAUUCCGGGGGGCAUGCCUGUCCGAGCGUCAUUGCUGCCCUCAAGCACGGCUUGUGUGUUGGGCCCCGUCCUCCGAUCCCGGGGGACGGGCCCGAAAGGCAGCGGCGGCACCGCGUCCGGUCCUCGAGCGUAUGGGGCUUUGUCACCCGCUCUGUAGGCCCGGCCGGCGCUUGCCGAUCAACCCAAAUUUUUAUCCAGGUUGACCUCGGAUAAGGUAGGGAUACCCGCUGAACUUAAGCAUAUCAAUAAGCGGAGGA